CCCCUUCGGUUGGUAACUCCCUUUAAUUCCAAAGAUAAUGACGUAGAUAUGAUAAGCACCGGCUAACUCCGUGCCAGCAGCCGCGUAAUACGAGGGGUGCAAGCGUUACUCGGAAUCACUGGGCGUAAAGGAUGCGUAGGCGGGUGAUCAAGUUGAGAGUGAAAUCCUAUGGCUUAACCAUAGAACUGCUCUCAAAACUGGUUACCUAGAAUAUGGAAGAGGCAGAUGGAAUUAGUGGUGUAGGGGUAAAAUCCGUAGAGAUCACUAGGAAUACCGAUUGCGAAGGCGAUCUGCUGGGACAUUAUUGACGCUGAGGCAUGAAAGCGUGGGGAGCAAACAGGAUUAGAUACCCUGGUAGUCCACGCCCUAAACGAUGCACACUAGUUGUUGCGAUGCUCGUCAUUGCAGUAAUACAGUUAACACAUUAAGUGUGCCGCCUGGGGAGUACGGUCGCAAGAUUAAAACUCAAAGGAAUAGACGGGGACCCGCACAAGCGGUGGAGCAUGUGGUUUAAUUCGAAGAUACGCGAAGAACCUUACCUAGACUUGAAAUCCUUAGAAUCCUGUAGAGAUACGGGAGUGCUUGUUUACAAGAGCUAAGUGACAGGUGCUGCACGGCUGUCGUCAGCUCGUGUCGUGAGAUGUUGGGUUAAGUCCCGCAACGAGCGCAACCCUCGUGAUUAGUUGCUAACAGUUCGGCUGAGCACUCUAAUCAGACUGCCUUCGUAAGGAGGAGGAGGGUGAGGACGACGUCAAGUCAUCAUGGCCCUUAUGUCUAGGGCUACACACGUGCUACAAUGGUUGGGACAAAGAGCAGCGAUACCGCGAGGUGGAGCAAAUCUUAAAACCCAAUCUCAGUUCGGAUUGGAGUCUGCAACUCGACUCCAUGAAGCUGGAAUCGCUAGUAAUCGUAGAUCAGCAAUGCUACGGUGAAUACGUUCCCGGGUCUUGUACUCACCGCCCGUCACACCAUGGGAGUUGAUUUCGCUCGAAGCCGGAAUACUAAAUUAGUUACCGUCCACAGCGGAAUUAGCGACUGGGGUGAAGUCGUAACAAGGUAAC
Molecule: ribosomal RNA, 1061 nt
Filed under: uncultured Campylobacterota bacterium
Lineage: Bacteria; Pseudomonadati; Campylobacterota
Description: bacterial SSU rRNA
Rfam family: Bacterial small subunit ribosomal RNA
Source: RNAcentral